Molecule: ribosomal RNA, 253 nt
Filed under: uncultured bacterium
Lineage: Bacteria
Description: partial 16S ribosomal RNA
Rfam family: Bacterial small subunit ribosomal RNA
Source: RNAcentral
UACGUAGGGCGCAAGCGUUGUCCGGAAUUAUUGGGCGUAAAGAGCUCGUAGGCGGCUUGUUACGUCUGCUGUGAAAUCCCAGGGCUUAACCCUGGGCCUGCAGUGGGUACGGGCAAACUAGAGUGCGGUAGGGGAGAUUGGAAUUCCUGGUGUAGCGGUGGAAUGCGCAGAUAUCAGGAGGAACACCGAUGGCGAAGGCAGAUCUCUGGGCCGUAACUGACGCUGAGGAGCGAAAGCAUGGGGAGCGAACAGG